AUUGAACGCUGGCGGCAUGCCUAACACAUGCAAGUCGAACGGCAGCAUAGUAUGUACUUGUACAUAUGGGUGGCGAGUGGCGAACGGGUGAGUAAUGCGCAGGAAUAUACCUUAAAGAGGGGGAUAACUUGGGGAAACACAAGCUAAUACCGCAUGUACUCUAAGGAGUGAAGCUGGGGACCUUCGGGCCUGGCGCUUUAAGAAUAGCCUGCGUCCGAUUAGCUAGUUGGUGGGGUAAAGGCCUACCAAGGCGACGAUCGGUAGCUGGUCUGAGAGGAUGGACAGCCACACUGGGACUGAGACGCGGCCCAGACUCCUACGGGAGGCAGCAGUGGGGAAUAUUGCGCAAUGGACGAAAGUCUGACGCAGCGACGCCGCGUGUGGGAUGACGGUCUUCGGAUUGUAAACCACUGUCGGGAGGGACGAAUACGCCGCAAGGUGGGUGACGGUACCUCCAAAGGAAGCACCGGCUAACUCCGUGCCAGCCGCCGCCGUAA
RNAcentral lists this ribosomal RNA (497 nucleotides) under uncultured bacterium. RNAcentral describes it as "partial 16S ribosomal RNA". It matches the Rfam family "Bacterial small subunit ribosomal RNA", at positions 30 to 523 of the family's 1533-position model. The record is from RNAcentral.